Long non-coding RNA from Hylaeus anthracinus, 3064 nucleotides. RefSeq lists it as uncharacterized. The transcript has 3 exons. The record is from RefSeq and is a predicted model, not a curated record. Lineage: Eukaryota; Metazoa; Arthropoda; Insecta; Hymenoptera; Colletidae.
UUUCAAUGUUUACGUAUUUCCUUAAACGAAACCUUUGAAGACCCUUGUUUUCAGCGAUUCAAACCAGAAUACCGUCUCGAGUCACGGAAACAAUUUCGCAACACGAGCGAUAACGUACAAGCGCAUCCGGCAACCUCGAUCCAACUCACAUUUGCGCAUCGCUUGGCUCGUUCUAUCACUGUACCAAAUGACUGACGCGAAUAAAACAAACGAAGAACUAACUUCCGACGUUCCGCUGAAAAAAUAAACGCGACGUAAAAAUAAAUUCAAAUCUUCCGCAAAGUUCGAACGUCGGCAUCGUUAGUCUUCCGAGUGUUUUCCUCGUCGUCUUAGUUCCGAUUCAGAGAUUCGCGCGACGAUUAGGCGAAUCAACGGUUCCCGACGCUCUCCGGGGUAUCAAAAAUCUUACGGAAUAUCGACUCUUGAGCAACCCUAUCCGGGAAACAAUUAUGCGUGUAGAACAAGCGCCCUAUGGUCGUCCUCGAACUUCGAACAGCGCGGAUCGAAAGGAAGACUUGCGUACUCCUCUUAAGUAUGUCUGUGUCAGCGUUUCCCAAAAUGUCAUGGAACACUUCCCAAUAGUAAUGGAACACUUCGUGUCGCGAUAUAUUCAUGCUUGUAUCCUUCUAUGGUCAUCUCCUUUUUAAACUUAAGUGUACGUAGAUAUCAGGUAAUUAAUGCUCGAAAUAUUUCAAAGUUGCACUCCAUACGAGAAAGUACAUAUAUUAUUGAGAGCAAACAUCGAUUUUAAUUAAUAAGAAAAGUUAUAUACACUCAUACCAAGCGACACAAAUUUCGGUUGUUACGAAGGGAGAAUUAAUCACGCUACAUCGUUGGUUUCUCGUUAAUGUCAUCGGUUGGAAAUCGAGUAUUUCGUGAUCCGUUUGAUAAGCAAUCUGUGCCAAUGUAUCGAUGACCGAAGAGAAUGUAGUUGUAAGUUAGGAUGAUACAAGAUCAGUGUACAGAUAUGCAAAAUCGAUUUUAUUCUUUCCAACAGUUGACGACGAUUUUCACAGAACACCAGUGUUCCGCGGAACACAGCUUGGGAAACGCUGGUCUGUGCAAUCAAUUUUACGCGUAAUUUGCCGUCUCGCGACGAAUACAAACGUUUACGGCUCGUCGUGUCGGUACGUAGAAUAAUUACAAUGAAAUCUGCCAGCAGAGUAGGACGUUACGAUACGAUAUACAAUUUGUACGCGCGUAUACGAUGACGUAAAUAUAAUAUAAUAUAAUGUAAUAUAAUAUAUAGAAUAGAAUAUAACGCGAUGUCGUAUGCAUUUCAAUGUAUCAUAAAAUCUGUGUCGAAGAGUAUUCUAUAAAAAUACUUUUCGGUAGGGUCGAUCAACGAUAAUUCUCUGUCGGACAGAGCUGUCCCUUAUUCGCAUAUCACCCUCGUGACGAAAGUCUUUGUACCGCGAUGCAAUCGUUUGUUACCAUGUAUUUGGGAACAGCUCUGCGCCUUGGGGUUUAGCCCUCUCAGACACUUUUAUCGUAAUAAUUAAUACAAUUUUAUUACUUCGUUACGAAAAUAUCGAUGAAUUCUUUCCUUGAUAAUAAAAUAUGUUUAACGUCGAAGUGUUGGCAGAAAAAUACAAAAUAAAAUAAAAUAAAAUUUAUAUUUAUGUUGUUCUGCAUAAGGAAAGUGCGUCUAAUUUUCUACCAAAAAUGAUUCAGCUUUCAAAAGUUAAAAGCUCGUCUUUAGUUUACAAAAUUACCUUUUGUCUGAAAGGGUUAACCAUAGGUACUCCAUGUAUUGGGAAUUCGAGGAAAAUGGUAAGCCCCGUCACGGGGCAAGUAUAUGUAUAAUUGAUUCGAAGGACGUGCACUGCGAUCGGAGUCCCCGCGAAUCCGCAUGAUCUAUAACAAUGAGAUAGGUACCUAUUACAAGCGCGCGUGACAAGUGUGCGUUUAGUGUCGCGUUGCGAACUGAGAUGCAUCCGCUGGACUGUUCGCAUGGUUGGUGUUCCACGGGAGUCCGAUUAAUGCGUUUGUUCGAUGCGACGGAACUACGGGGUCUCCGAUUCUCUGCACGAUACCUUUGGGAAAGAUAUAUACAGGAUGCGUCGUACGCCAACGAGAUUCGAGACUCUUGAACUGCGAUCGUUGUCUCGCGCUUGUUGUGCCCUGGCAAACUACAUGACAGGAAAUUCGAUCGAAUGAGCACCGCAUCGAAAGAUCACGGCCGUCCUGACCCACUCCGUCGCACGUGUCUCCUGUGAAUUACUUAAAAUGCAUUCGCGCAGGACCAGCUAUUUUUAAAAGUCUUUGGUCUCGAUACAAAUAUCGGCGCCACGCGUCGAGAAACACGACACACGGGGGACGAUUCAGAUAAUGGAUGGCUGGUUCUACGAUCCGAUUGUACGUUGGGUCGGUGAAUUAACCUUUGCUUACGACAUUCACGGAAGUUAAGCGCUUCUUUACCAAUUGAAUCCGUUUACGGUAAGUAUUCAAUCGCAUGUAAUGUCGAGCACGCGAGGAUACUGUGUCGUUGCACUGCAUUUGUUGAAGGAAACAGACCUCACGCACACGGGCAGUGCUCACGAAUUUAGUUAGAAAAAUGGGACAUUGAAUUUCAAAUAUAAAAGUACGUUGCUUAAAUCUGAAAUGGUAUUACACACAGUAUUUGAGUUACAAAUCGUCUCCGUUUCCGUUUUCAAACACGUGCUACCAUCUAAUGGGAACGAGCGGUCUAGGUUGACCGCGUCUGAUCAUGAGCGUCUGCUUCUACUGCGGUCGGUCUGGUCGGCAUUCGCAGUACUCACUGCUCGUUCUACACGAAAUCGAUCGUUCUUCCACUGGAUAUCGAAAUUUUUUAUCGGAAUGAAGAAACGAUUCGAAUGUCAUACGCGUAACAAUUAUUUUUUUUUUAAUUCUAUCACACGGACUGUAAUAUUUUUUAAUCUUCAAUGAAAUGCGAUUUUCAUUUUUUUGCUCUGCAGGUAACGAAUAAUUUCUCGCCUCAUUAAUAAAAUCAAUUUUCGCCAGCUAAACAAGUAUAGAAAUGAUUCCUUGUUGAAAUAGUCACCGGAGAUAACUACCUAAUAUUUAAAAGGAAACUACAACU